Molecule: long non-coding RNA, 1059 nt
Filed under: Rattus norvegicus (Norway rat)
Lineage: Eukaryota; Metazoa; Chordata; Mammalia; Rodentia; Muridae
Description: long non-coding RNA NONRATT018701
Source: RNAcentral
GAGGCAGCAACAGAACUGAGAAGCAGCGAAAGUGCAUCUGGAGCAGAGAGGAGAAUUCAGAGGGUGCAGAGACCGCUCAGCCCCACAGCUCUGCUGCAGUCCUCCAUAGCACAGUCACGACGAGAUGGAUCCUGAAGCCCUCACAAAUCUACCAGCUCUAGUCACUUAUUUUAUAUGGUGCACUCAAAUUUGAGUCAUUUGAUAGGUAUUCUUUACAUUCUAUACACACACGUGCACACACUUACAUACACACACACACACACACACACACACACACACACACACACACAAAUGAGUUUUAUUUGAAAUGGAGAGAAUCCCCAUUCCAAACCAGGUAAUUUCAUAUUGAGUGAUUCUGCCUUCUGGAAACAUUUCUCCAAAUCAGCUUUCUCUUUUCUCCACUCCCUUCUGACACUUUAACUACCUAUUGUACUGCUUUCUAGGAGUCAUCGGAGGCCAGUAUGUGUCUUGUUCCCCACUUUGGGCAAGGGUACCUAGCCAUGUGCAAAGUGAGGCUUACCUAUGGUCUGUCUUUUGAGGCGAUCCAAGGUGAGGUCUGAAGUGCUUGAGUCCAGAGAAGGUGCUGGUAAGAAAUAUUGCAAGGUCGGGUGGGGCAGGGAUAUGUUGAUAAAACAGAUGAGAUCCCCUGAUAUGACAGUGUGGGGUUUCCUCUGAUUGGCCCAUGGUGACUUGCCCCAUUUCCACCAAGUACAAAGACACAGGGACCGCCAAUUGUGUUAAGGAGGAACUGGAUUUCUCUAUCCUCUGGCCCCACUCUCUAUUGCAAACUAUUUGUUGUAUAUUGAUCAUUGUUACCACAGAACUUACUCUUGGCAUGCUCAGAUCCUUGCUACCUCUGCCACCCCUGCUGCUGCUUCUGCUUCUGCUUCUGCUUCUGGUGCUUCUGCUUCAAUGUUUUGUCCAUUGCAGGCUUGGAAGGGCCAGGAGCUUCUGGAGCCAAUAAGUGAGCAUUCCAAAGCCUCAUGCUCAGGAAACUGCAGAAAACACCAGUAAUGUCACUCAACACAGAAUAACCCUUGCAGCCAGAGUCACCUGCAG